RNAcentral lists this long non-coding RNA (239 nucleotides) under Lathyrus oleraceus (garden pea). RNAcentral's name for it is "Pisum sativum (pea) long non-coding RNA (PSAT_LNC013832)". The record is from RNAcentral. Lineage: Eukaryota; Viridiplantae; Streptophyta; Magnoliopsida; Fabales; Fabaceae.
AAAAAUCAAUUCUAGAUGAAACAAAAAAAAAAUCAAGGCAAACAUUGUAGACAAACUAAAUACGGAAAUGCAUUUCUGGAAAAAUAUAUUUUGGACGAAAACGAAAAUUCAUUUCCAUUUCCUCAUUAAACUGCAACUCAACAAACAUGAAAAUGACAAAAAUGCAUGGAAAUCAAAUUUUCUCAAAACACAUUGCUCAUUUAAACUACAUAUCUAACACAUCGAUCAAUUAAAUAACA